GUUCUUCGUGGACCGGUCAAAUUUCUCUGCGGACCGGUGCCGGUCCGCCAGACCAGUGGUUGAGAAACACUGUUCUAUAGUAUGAUUUUUAUAUAGAUCAAGAAUUUGAUUUUGGAUAAUUGAAUCAUAAAUCAGUCAUAUUUGUGUUUGUGCUGGAAUUGAUAGCAUUGAUUUCUAUAGAAAAAUGGUUCUGAUUUUGGCAAUUUUGAGAUUAUCAUUAAAAACUUUUAAGAACAAAUUAAUAAUAUGCUGGUGUUUAAAAUAUUAAGUUAUAUUUCAGUAGUAAUUAUGCUGAACUAUGCUGGAUUAUGCUGCUAUUUAGUGAAGUGCUCUCGGUGCAAAACGGUUUUCAGCACUAUAAACUAUAGGAUCAAAUAUAUAAAUUUAAUGGACUAUCAUUAUUAUUCUCAAAAUUCCUUAGAGUUUAACAUAAUAACGAUAUUCCAUUAAAUUCAUAUAUGCAAACCAUUACUGGCACUGGGGCGGGAUUGAGUUUUUUUUAUAAAAAAAACACAGUACACAAUGGGUGAAGAAGUGCUUUCGAUUUUGGUAAAUCAUCCUCAGCUUCACUGGUGAACAGAACAACAAAAUUUUUUUGUUGUUCUGUUCAUUGGUGGGGCUGAUGAUUAUUUGUU
Molecule: long non-coding RNA, 635 nt
Filed under: Androctonus crassicauda
Lineage: Eukaryota; Metazoa; Arthropoda; Arachnida; Scorpiones; Buthidae
Source: RNAcentral